Small nucleolar RNA from Heterocephalus glaber (naked mole-rat), 143 nucleotides. The record is from Ensembl. NCBI's taxonomy places the organism in Eukaryota, Metazoa, Chordata, Mammalia, Rodentia, Bathyergidae.
CUUACAUACUAUCAAAGCUAAGGUGGAGGCCAGUCUUGGCCAGUGAACUUCUGGGUGUUUGAAGUAUGUUAUAAUAUGGUAGGAUUUUCUCCAGUGGAGUUUGCCUGUGUGACUGGAAUUUGACAGUACUCGCUGCCACACAC